UGAAGCCCGAAGCAUGGCCGCUGCGUGCCUUUGGGCGCGUGGAGGAAAGUCCGGGCUCCGCAGAGCAGGAUGCUGGCUAACGGCCAGUGGGGGCAACCCCAAGGAAAGUGCCACAGAAAACAAACCGCCGAUGGGGCGACCUGUGGCAACGCAGGCGCCCACAGGUAAGGGUGAAAAGGUGGGGGCCAUUUCGGCCUUAAUGUAAGAGCCCACCGCGGGCGUGGCGACACGACCGGCACGGCAAACCCCAUCCGGAGCAAGUCCAAGUAAGGCGGCGCUAAGGGUUGCUCGCCCAGCCGCCGGGUAGGACGCUCGAGGCGGCCGGCAACGGUCGUCCCAGAUAAAUGGCCAUGGCUCCCCCUGGGGAGAACAGAACCCGGCUUACCGACGGCUUCAACCC
This 400-nucleotide RNase P RNA is filed under the name Deltaproteobacteria bacterium. RNAcentral describes it as "RNase P RNA component class A". It matches the Rfam family "Bacterial RNase P class A". Rfam says of the family: Ribonuclease P (RNase P) is a ubiquitous endoribonuclease, found in archaea, bacteria and eukarya as well as chloroplasts and mitochondria. Its best characterised activity is the generation of mature 5'-ends of tRNAs by cleaving the 5'-leader elements of precursor-tRNAs. The record is from RNAcentral. Lineage: Bacteria; Pseudomonadati; Myxococcota; Myxococcia.